GUGAAGGAGAAGGCCGGUGUAAUCCGGAGUACCGGUAAACUCCCUGGAAAAGCAUGCUGUUUCUGACACUAAAAAACAGAUGAUAUUAGAUAACUGCAGUUAUAUAUAUGUAUGUAUGUGUGUGCGUGAGAGAUGAUAUUGGUUUCAGUAAAAGAAAGAAGAUCUUGAAAGCCAAAAGUGUAUGUUAUAGAGAGCUCUCAAAGAUACUUUCUUAAAACAAAAACAACACAACACUCAAAAGACAAUUGUACUUCCUUUCCUUCUCUGUCUCUACUUUUUGGAAUGGUUUCUCAUCCAGUGAUCACAUCACAUUCACCAGUAAGUAUAGCAGCUUCAAUCAUAACAUAAAUUGCAAAAAGCAUGAUGCAGUUUAUAUGGAUUAUUUCUCAUUCACUGGAUCAACAACACUACAAAUGUUAUGUGAAGAGCAGAGAGGAAUAGGCUGAGAAUAAUUGCUUACUUUAAUCAAAGCCUUGUAAGCCAUUGAAAAGUUUGUUGAAGAGUUGGUCUGUUUCGAGAUAUAUGAAUCUAUUGAUGGCAGUGAUAAUAGCUUGUGAGACUGUGAGCUAUAGUAGGACAAAAGCCAAAUUCAACUGAGAAAUGGAUUGUUGCUUGAAUUUAUUAAGCUCCUCAUAGUGAAGCCAUUUUACAAAAACC
Molecule: long non-coding RNA, 657 nt
Filed under: Arabidopsis lyrata
Lineage: Eukaryota; Viridiplantae; Streptophyta; Magnoliopsida; Brassicales; Brassicaceae
Description: long non-coding RNA (ALYR_LNC003000)
Source: RNAcentral